Molecule: long non-coding RNA, 2466 nt
Filed under: Homo sapiens (human)
Lineage: Eukaryota; Metazoa; Chordata; Mammalia; Primates; Hominidae
Description: non-protein coding lnc-GLG1-1:1
Source: RNAcentral
GGACUUCCAUUGCUGUUGCUGUUGUCCCUAGACAAGCCCGUUAGCAAGAAGCACCGGCAGGGGAGCCAUGCACUCCAUAGGCUUGGGAUCACCCCCGGGAAAGCGAUCUUCCCCGGGCUACCACCCCCAGCUGCAGUUCUGUGUUAGUGCAUCCUUCAAAGCUAGGAGAAUUCUAGGGUGACCAGUGAGCUAAUGUUGAGUGAGCAGGUAUUGACUUGAACACACUGCAGGCCUUUGGCUGUCUCAUGCUGUCCUUACUCUUCUUGGGAACAGUGAGUCACUCAGCUGGCCAGGGUGGGGAUGCAUCCUGGUGAAGAGACAGCUUUCCCUGAAGAUGCUACAGAAAGUUACUGUCAGAUUUCAUUUGUUUCUGUUUCCUGAGAUCAACUAACAGAAGAAUCUAAUGGUGAGAGUGUCUUCAUUCAUGUUUUACGUUUUAUCAAGGCACACUGGAAAGGGAAUUAUGUGGCUGACUUCCCUUGGCCUUCCCAAGAGAAGAUUCUGUUCUUAUGUCAGUGUGGCUUCUGGAAGUGUCUCCUAUCCUCCCAUCCUCCAGGCCUGUGGUGUGACUUCUGCCCCGAAGUUCCUACUAUAGUGAGUCAUCUGGGGAGAGGCCACUGAAAAGAGGCCUUCCCUUCCCAUUUCCUCCCCUGCCUCCUUAGAACACACUCUAAGUCAGAACUUAAUCUAAGAAGAAGGAAGCUGGACCAGGAACCUUGGAAGUCAGCCAGCCCUAGAACAGUCAGCCUAAAUUUUGGCCGUAAUGGCUUUUUUGGUUUUUUGUUUUGUUUCUGAGAUGGAGUCUCACUCCGUUGCCAGGCUGGAGUGCUGUGGCGCUAUCUCAGCUUACCGAAUCCUCCGACUCCCUGGUUCAAGCGAUUGUCCUGCCUCAGCCUCCGGAGUAGCUGGGAUUACAGGCAUGCACCACCACACCCAGCUAAUUUUUGUAUUUUUAGUAGAGACGGGGUUUCACCGUGUUGUCCAGGAUGGUCUCCAUCUCCUGACCUCAUGAUGUGCCCACUUCGGCCUUCCAAAGUGGCCGCAAAGUGGCCCACUUCGGCCAAAGUGCACUUCGGCCUUCCAAAGUGCAUUACAGGCGUGAGCCACCACGCCCGGCCUGGCCUUUUUUUUUUUUUUCUUUUGAGACACAGUUUCACUCGUUGCCCAGGCUGGAGUGCAGUGGCGCAAUCUCGGCUCACUGCAACUUCUGCCUCCUAGGUUCAAGCAGUUCUCCUGCCUCAGCCUCCCAAGUAGUUGGGAUUACGGGCAUGCACCACCAUGCCUGGAUAAUUUUUUCUUAUUUUUAGUAGAGACAGGAUUUCAUCAUGUUGGCCACGCUGGUUUCGAACUCCUGACCACAUGUGGUCCACCCACCUUGGCCUCAAUUAUGUGCAUUUUGGUAUAUUUACUUGUAUUUCAACAUCUUGUGAGUUUGAAAAACCUGAAAGGCCAGAAUGCUUCCUUUUAUUUCUCACCAUUUGGGCAGCACCUAAGUGGUUUUGUAAAAUGCAGCAUCUGGUGCUGUGGGUCUCUCUCAGGCCUUGAGGGACACUUCCUUCCUCCCCACUCGCCUCCUCUCCACUAGACUUUGGUUCCUAGAGGGCGUGGGGCCGGGUCUGAGGUUCUUGCCUGCCUUCCCUCCCAUUGGUCUUUGGUUGCUCAUCCCUCUAACUGCACCCCUUCUUGGUCCUUCCUCCACAGACUUCAGAUAAUAGAUAAGUCAUUAGCAAACCAGACCGAAUCUUUAGGGUGAAGAGCUCCCCAAAGCCAUCUGGUGAGGUCAUUGUGGGGACCAGGGACUGAUUAUUUGUCACCUGGAUCACAAAGAUGGGACUGUCUGCUCAGGCUGGUGGUGACAGGAUCCUGACCCGUGGUCCUCUCCCGCUCCCUCUGCUCCACCAGGACACAUGUAUAGGACACUGUGCUGUGUGCAGUGGAGAAAUCUCCCUGGGCCAGGGGAAAGUUCAGACAGUGCCUCUAGAUUGUGUUUUGCCUCCUCCAAUGUAGAGUUGACAUCUGGACCCCAGAGCCCAGCAGGGCUUUCUGUCAGACAUGCUAGGGUGGUAGAAAUGGGCCCUCCAGGUCCCCCUGCAGUGCACUGGGCAGAGACCUCCGGAAAGCCGGCAGCGGGAGCGCUUCCUGGGCAGCUUCCCCCAGCACAGUGUUCCCAAACCAGUCCAUCCGGAAAACAGUCUGUACAGCAAAUGCUGUGUGAGAUCUUAGGCUUUUCACUUUUUUUGUUUUGUUUUGUUUUUGAAAGAAAGAAAAAAAUACAAUUAACAAGCCUCUUUUGUAAAUGGGUUUCCUUUCUAUGUAUAAAAUCGUGGUGGUCCCUUGUUUUUACAUGUUCAUGCUGUGUAAUUUUGAGAUGUUACUGAGAUAUGUUCUGAACAUAAUGUGCAUUUUUUUCUGUACAGAUGAAAUGGGAGAAUUUAAUAAAGAGUUUGCAGGUUUUUACUUGUUAAA